AAGCUCGUAGUUGAAUUUCGGGGUCAGUAGGUUGGUCGUGCCACCGGUACGUACUGGUCUCACUGAUUCCUCCUUCCUGAUGAGCUGUAAUGCCAUUAAUUUGGUGUUGCAGGGAAUCUGGACUGUUACUUUGAAAAAAUUAGAGUGUUUAAAGCAGGCUAACGCUUGAAUACAUUAGCAUGGAAUAAUGAAAUAGGGCGUUCGAUCCUAUUUUGUUGGUUUCUAGGAUUGACGUAAUGAUUAAUAGGGAUAGUUGGG
RNAcentral lists this ribosomal RNA (258 nucleotides) under uncultured Glomus. RNAcentral describes it as "partial 18S ribosomal RNA". It matches the Rfam family "Eukaryotic small subunit ribosomal RNA", at positions 624 to 886 of the family's 1831-position model. Lineage: Eukaryota; Fungi; Glomeromycota; Glomeromycetes; Glomerales; Glomeraceae. The record is from RNAcentral.